GGCUAUUUUGUCAGUUUUCAUUUGUGGCCUGGUCUUGAUUUGCCAGCAAAGUGCACAUGUAUUUGUAAGUCAUUAGGCAAAGCCAAAGGUCCUCUGCAGCAUUAUCAACAUGGGCAUUGGGAGGCCAAAGAUGCCAGAGUAAAACACGAGUUGGUUGCUGUUGUCUGCUUUUUGCUGGGACAUGCUAUUUGCUCAAACAAACACACAUCCUGGCACUGGCCCUGUCCCUGGCCCUGGCUCUGGGCCCUGUGCAUGUCUUGACAAUUUGCGCCGUGGUUGAGCUGCCCUGCGGCUCCGUCUGCGGCUGUUGCUUUCCCUUGUUGCUAGGUGUAGUGUUUGGCUUGGAAAAUGUGGCUGCUGAUGCGUAUCGUGAUGCUGGCACUUACAAACAAACGGACAGCUGCUUGGGGAGGCCCCACACGCACACACAUGUUAAGCAUCAGAACAGGCCACAGAAUCAAUAUGCAUAUAGAUUUGUUGGGGGACUGCAGUGGCUGUUGGGACAACAUUUGCAUAAAGCAGCGAUUGGCAGGUGCCAUCACAAUCAGCCGUAACAUUUACUGAGUACAUGCCACAUAUACAUAUGCGUAUCGUGUGGCCCAGACCUAAUUAUAUACGUUGCGUCGCUGUUCAGUUGAAAUUGAGAGAGAGACACCUAAUAAAUCCCAGUGCUGCAUCAGCGCAAAGUCCCAAAUCCAAUAAGUAAAUCCGUAAGCCAAAGCGAAAGCGAACAAAAAAUAGGGAAAAUAAGAAAGAAGACAAAUAAAAUGUUGUAGCAAAUGAGCUGCCUUGGCGUCAAUUUCCAGCGCAACACGCACACAUACAUACAGAGAUGCACACUCGCACACACACAAAGCCAGAUCCCCACGAACAUCAUAAUAAUAAGCCUUGGGAAUACGUAUAAAGUGUGAAAAAUAUGUAUGAAUGCAGCAGGCUAAAAUUAUUCGCUUAAGAAAUACGCUAUAAUAAUAAUAAUGUAAAUGCAAGAGAGAGAGAGAGAGAAAGAGAGAGAGAGAGAGAGAGAGAGAGAGAGAGAGAGUGAGAGAGCCCCUCUCUCGGAGAUGCUCUUGUAUGCUUGAAGGAUCCUUAUAAUAUUAGUUCUUGCAACUAAAAUUGAAAGAUAGUCUGUAACAAGAAGUAGAUUUUGUAGAUAAAAUUAAAGCUUUCUAAGUGAAUAUAAGAAAUACCCUUAAAGUAUUAGAGGCCAUAGAGUUAUUGAGCUUUGAGAGCUCUUGGCUGAAUACGCUUUGGACUACUGA
This 1259-nucleotide small RNA is filed under the name Drosophila virilis. RNAcentral describes it as "GJ26086". Lineage: Eukaryota; Metazoa; Arthropoda; Insecta; Diptera; Drosophilidae. The record is from RNAcentral.